Molecule: ribosomal RNA, 455 nt
Filed under: uncultured bacterium
Lineage: Bacteria
Description: SSU rRNA
Rfam family: Bacterial small subunit ribosomal RNA
Source: RNAcentral
AGGAUGAACGCUGGCGGCGUGCCUAAUACAUGCAAGUCGAGCGGUAAGGCCACUUCGGUGGUACACGAGCGGCGGACGGCUGAGUAACACGUAGGAACGUACCCCAAACUGAGGGAUAAGCACCAGAAAUGGUGUCUAAUACCGCAUGUGCUCUUCGGAGUAAAGCUACGGCGGUUUGGGAACGGCCUGCGCAAGAUUAGCUUGUUGGUGAGGUAAUAGCUCACCAAGGCGACGAUCUUUAGCUGGUCUGAGAGGAUGACCAGCCAGACUGGAACUGAGAACGGUCCAGACUCCUACGGGAGGCAGCAGUAGGGAAUUUUCCACAAUGGACGAAAGUCUGAUGGAGCAACGCCGCGUGCAGGAUGAAGGCCCUCGGGUCGUAAACUGCUUUUAUAUGCGACGAUUAUGACGGUAGCAUAUGAAUAAGGAUCGGCUAACUCCGUGCCAGCAGCCGC